This 465-nucleotide ribosomal RNA is filed under the name Vreelandella stevensii. RNAcentral's name for it is "partial 16S ribosomal RNA". It matches the Rfam family "Bacterial small subunit ribosomal RNA", at positions 338 to 795 of the family's 1533-position model. The record is from RNAcentral. Lineage: Bacteria; Pseudomonadati; Pseudomonadota; Gammaproteobacteria; Oceanospirillales; Halomonadaceae.
CCUACGGGAGGCAGCAGUGGGGAAUAUUGGGCAAUGGGGGCAACCCUGAUCCAGCCAUGCCGCGUGUGUGAAGAAGGCCCUCGGGUUGUAAAGCACUUUCAGUGAGGAAGAACGCCUGGUGGUUAAUACCCAUCAGGAAAGACAUCACUCACAGAAGAAGCACCGGCUAACUCCGUGCCAGCAGCCGCGGUAAUACGGAGGGUGCGAGCGUUAAUCGGAAUUACUGGGCGUAAAGCGCGCGUAGGUGGCUUGAUAAGCCGGUUGUGAAAGCCCCGGGCUCAACCUGGGAACGGCAUCCGGAACUGUCAAGCUAGAGUGCAGGAGAGGAAGGUAGAAUUCCCGGUGUAGCGGUGAAAUGCGUAGAGAUCGGGAGGAAUACCAGUGGCGAAGGCGGCCUUCUGGACUGACACUGACACUGAGGUGCGAAAGCGUGGGUAGCAAACAGGAUUAGAUACCCUUGUAGUC